This 368-nucleotide ribosomal RNA is filed under the name Cronobacter muytjensii 530. RNAcentral describes it as "LSU rRNA". It matches the Rfam family "Bacterial large subunit ribosomal RNA", at positions 780 to 1145 of the family's 2925-position model. Lineage: Bacteria; Pseudomonadati; Pseudomonadota; Gammaproteobacteria; Enterobacterales; Enterobacteriaceae. The record is from RNAcentral.
CGACUAAUGUUGAAAAAUUAGCGGAUGACCUGUGGCUGGGGGUGAAAGGCCAAUCAAACCGGGAGAUAGCUGGUUCUCCCCGAAAGCUAUUUAGGUAGCGCCUCGUGAACUCAUCUUCGGGGGUAGAGCACUGUUUCGGCUAGGGGGCCAUCCCGGCUUACCAACCCGAUGCAAACUGCGAAUACCGAAGAAUGUUAUCACGGGAGACACACGGCGGGUGCUAACGUCCGUCGUGAAGAGGGAAACAACCCAGACCGCCAGCUAAGGUCCCAAAGUCAUGGUUAAGUGGGAAACGAUGUGGGAAGGCCCAGACAGCCAGGAUGUUGGCUUAGAAGCAGCCAUCAUUUAAAGAAAGCGUAAUAGCUCAC